GCCCAAGGCACAAAAUGUAAUAUAACCUAUUGGAUAUCAUAUUUUCUCUGUGUUGAAACAAUUUUUGGUGACAGAGCCAAGAACUGAUAUAAAUUUACAAGCAAGAGAAAGGAAAAAUUCUCAGGCAUUAGACGUUGCCCUCUUACCACUAGACUGAAGAUCCCCGGGGGAGAAAGAACCUCAGAAACGAAUAGGUAAACCGUGGUUGAGGAAUGUUCUAAUGCAUCCAUCCAAUCCUGCAGUGACAACCACGAGACCCCACAAAUGACUUGAACUCAAUGCACUUUGCCAAGCACUCUUCAAGAUCUUGUAUUCGGACUUACAUAUAGAAGGGGAGACAGUUGAAGGAGGAUUUGAGUCGGGCAGUUUCUCCUCUGGCCACGUUGCAGAGCUCUUUAGUAGAGAAUCCAAGAAAGACGCACGUCCUAAGGAGAAGCACUCUUGUAAAGAUGAAGUCUUUGGCAAUGAAUUCUCGUUGACAUCAGCGUUUGCUAAGACAUUUCCUGGUAGUGUCGUUACUGGAUUGGUUUUAAAGCCAGACCAAGGUAUGGCAACUGAUGCAUUUUGGGAAAAGAAACUCUCUGAUGAACGGACUUUCUUUGGUUGGCUAGUCAACCCGUCCUCGUGACUAUAGUUCCAGAUAUAAACAUUUGAAUCUUCAGUGACAGCGAGAAUGUGUUUCCCAUCUGAUGUGAAUGAUGCAGGACAUUGGCUAUCAAAUUUUUUUGUUCCUUUGAAUUUGCAGAUGAUGUUGGAUCCACAAAGUAUUCUAACUUGGGAAUCAGCAGAAGUAACCAUGACUUUGCUCGAAUCAUUCGGGCAGUACUGAAAUCCAGUUACUCUCUUGUUAGUAAGCUUCUUCUUUCCUUGCAGGCAUACCUGAAGGCCCAUCUGCAAAUGAUUAUCAACAACAUCAUAAAAACGGCAAUUGCCAUCCAUAUAUCCCACAACACCUCCCUUUCCAUCAGGACUAUAACAAAGAGCGGUCACUAUUUCCUUUACAUCAGUCCAAUCAAUCACUCGACAACUAUGCACCUCCCA
RNAcentral lists this unclassified non-coding RNA (1041 nucleotides) under Hevea brasiliensis (rubber tree). Lineage: Eukaryota; Viridiplantae; Streptophyta; Magnoliopsida; Malpighiales; Euphorbiaceae. The record is from RNAcentral.